Mesocricetus auratus (golden hamster) is the source of this 2902-nucleotide long non-coding RNA. RefSeq lists it as uncharacterized. Lineage: Eukaryota; Metazoa; Chordata; Mammalia; Rodentia; Cricetidae. The record is from RefSeq and is a predicted model, not a curated record. The transcript is spliced from 5 exons.
UUCUGCCAGGCCAGUCUUGCCCAUGGAGCGGGGGCACUGUGGUCACCCUCCUCAGGGAACUCUUUGGGAGCUGAAGAGCAGUUUGGGGCCCGGAGAACUUUCCAGAGCACCACCAGGUCACCUGUAGCUUCCAGAAAGGUCUCUUCCCUCAUCCUGCCAGGUGCCAAAGAGAAACAGCCUUAGUGGUCUCCCCGAGGGCAAAGGCAAGAACCCACAUCCUCUCUGUGUGUGGACAAUGGCUGUUUUCCCAGCAGGUGUAGGUUGUCUAGGACGAUGCCAGACAAGAGGAGACUUUUCUGCUUCUCUCCAUCUCGCCCCCCAUGUGAUGAGGAUGAGCUCUGUGAAGAGAGUCCUUUGGCUUGACGAGUCUGACAUGGUCCUGAAGCUGGCCAAGGGAACUUUCAGGUUUCCUUCUGCCGUCCUACACGUUUGAGAACUUCUCUGCCUCUGGCUCAGCUCAGACCUCAGUCUGCAGAGUCUCCUAGGGCCUGGAAACCCCAUCCCCCUGCUCCCAGAGCAGCAAUCCCUACUUUUCUACAAUGCACCUUGCUGUGUGUCCCCCCUAGUGACGCACACUGUGUGUUUGGUCCUGAGCUACUGCGGGCGAAGUUUCUUUUGAUCCUAGACUGACCUUACUUGAUGUGACCUUGGUCACAGAGUCAUGCCUUUCCUUACACGCCUCUCUGAAGCCAGAUGCCCAGACUGGCUCCUGCUGGACUAGCCAGGCCAACCCGAGGAGGAGCCUGCACCAGCUGCCAGCUUAUGGAACCAGAGCCCACUGGGGGGGCCAUAAAAGCCUAGCGUCCAGUGGGUAAGGUGAUGCAUGAACUGGCCGAAGUCUUUGGGUCUCAAUGCCAUGACCAGAAUCCAGGGCCUGAGUAUUUCAGGAAGGCCUGGCCUGGCUCCACAUACCAUGCUAUUUAUUUACUCCGUGGGAUUACUGUGGACAAUGGCCAUCCUCGGUGGCGCCUCCCAUCCCGAGGUCCUAUUUUGAGAAGGAAUUUGUUGAAGAUGGCCGUCUGGCUACCGACCCAGAGAUCCAGGAGGUCGUUUAUGUAUCCCAUACCAGUUGCUUAGCAGCGCCCAGUUCAAUGGAGGAAACUGGAGACAUAAAUAUGAACACAGCUGACACAGGCUUCUACAUCUCCAGGCCAGGAACUGCACUGUGUGCUUUGCGUAAUACACAGCUAUCAAGGCAAGCCUUUUCUUGUCAACGCUACAUAGGAGGAAACUGAGGCACAGAACGUACCGAGAACUUUCUAAAGAUACCUAAGGAGGAUGUGGUGGGGUCUGGUCUUGGGAGCAAGGCCUGAGAUCUAAGUUCCCUCCUUAGCCUUGGAUCCAACAAGCGGUGGUGUUCAGUCUGGGCGAGCCUCCAGGAGGAUGAGACUCAGCUGCUGUUCUUUGGCAACUCAGGGCUGCGGCGUUGGUGAGGAGAGAUGUACAUGGUGGAACUUCAUGCACGCCGUCACCCAAAACUGCUUACUAUGUACCAGGCCCUGUCCCAGCUACUUUGCUUACCUUCCCUGCUGCUGGGACCUUUCCAGUAGCCCUGCAACCAUCGUCCCCAGUGCAGAUGGGGUGGACUAGCCACUCAUCUCUGGUCUCGGUGUCCCUGAAUGGCAGAGCAGGGAUGGGAGGCCAAGACCCCAGUUCCAGGUCUACACCCUGCCUUACUGUUGUCACUCAGGGGAAGGGAUCCACCUACACUGGCCCCAAGGAGAGCCGGAUUGCCCAGGUGUUGCUAGGCUGCCCACGCUUGCAAGACCGGAUAAUGGUGACUGAACUGCUCUGGGGUUGCUGUGUCUGAAAGGAAAAGAUGGAGGACAAGUUCUUUUCGCCCCAGCCCUUGGAUCCGGUUUCUGUCUACAGAGAGUACGCUUCUUUGGUGAACCAAGAACUUCCCUUGGGAGGCACACAGCAGAGAAUACAGUACGAUAACGACUGUAGGAGUGAGGGACUGUAGGAGUGUAGGAGAAACUGCGGCCAGCCUACCCAAGCCGCUAUUGCCCUGUCCCUGGUGCCUAGGUCAGCCUGCAUGAGCACGCGCAUGCGCGGCAGGCAUCUCCUUCCUGAGCCAAGCUGCCAGCUGCCUCAACGCCCAGUGACUGUUGACAGAGAGACACCUGACCCAGAGACACCAAUGAGGAAAGCAGAACGCAGCGGAGUCAGCCGCCUGAGCCAAUAGCACCUUGGGAGGGGGUAUAAAGCCAGGUCUAACUUAGUUAAUAAACGAGUCUGCGGAAUGCUCUGCUACUCACUGACUCCCAGUGCCUGAGUCGUUGGUGCUGCGUCUUCUCACCCCCUCCCCCAAGGGGUGUCCGAGCAGGGUCACCCGCAACAGGACUGGGUUUAGACGGACUGCAUUGGGAAGCGGAAGCGGGCGGACAGGGAAGCCAGAUGGGUGGGAUUGAAGCGCCUCCCUGCUUUGAUGAUAACCGGGGCCACAGAAAACAGACACAGAGUGUGGUACAGGAUCGCAUCCCAUAUACACGGGGGACAUCCAAUUGGAGUGCAGGACUCCAAUCAAGAAGCACUUGGCCGGCUGACCUGUAACAGGAUCUCCAAACAAGACCCCAACUUGGUAGCCCCUGCAUCCUACCCGUCUCCAUCUCAGGGAGUGGAGCUCCUGGAGGAAAGAAAAAGGUACACCCACUUCCCACAAACCCAGAAAGAGAUGAGUACAGCUGAGGUACUGCUGCCUGCCACUUGUGUCUUGGGCUCCAUGUAAAGUCUAAAUAUAUACUUUGGAAAUUGAAAGAAAAAGGCUCACGUAUAGAAUGUGGCUGGUGGAGGCAUGGCUCUCUUUGAACUUGUCUCUUUAAAGACACAACUGGAAGCGUGCUUUUCCUACCCUCGAGGAGAUACUCGAGCAUGGCAGCAGAUGAGGGAUGGAAAUUAA